CCUCUCGGGGGUAAGCGGGCAGAACUUGCAAGUAUUGUUAGGAAGAUUCAGACUUGGAGUUGAUGGCUGAGAGUGCUUGUUAAGUUGUUCGUUUGCGAAUUGGCUGACCUGUAUUCUUUGUUCUAUUAACGAUGCGUCGCAUUUCUUCUUAGCAUCGGGUUGCAUGCAACUGAAUAGUAGUUUUAGGUGCUAAGUAACUGCAAAUCCUUGUGGUUUGAGUCUUGGUUACCAACUANUGUUGCGGUUGUGUUAAGAACUUGAACAAGCUUUUAUAGCGGUCAAGUAUUUUUACGAGUAGGAUGUGUACUGUAUAUGGACAAGCAAUUGUAAUAUGCGGUGCAUGUUGAUUGUCGGUGAGAAUACUUUGGCUUUGUUCAUGUAUUGCAAUCUAAAGCAUGCGUGGUCUGCCUGU
This 412-nucleotide ribosomal RNA is filed under the name Metaphorura denisi. Its description in RNAcentral is "partial 28S ribosomal RNA". The record is from RNAcentral. Lineage: Eukaryota; Metazoa; Arthropoda; Collembola; Poduromorpha; Tullbergiidae.